This 274-nucleotide ribosomal RNA is filed under the name uncultured bacterium. RNAcentral's name for it is "partial 16S ribosomal RNA". It matches the Rfam family "Bacterial small subunit ribosomal RNA", at positions 523 to 796 of the family's 1533-position model. The record is from RNAcentral.
AUACGGAGGGUGCAAGCGUUAUCGGGAUUCAUUGGGUUUAAAGGGUGCGCAGGCGGAAUGAUAAGUCAGUGGUGAAAUCCUACAGCUUAACUGUAGAACUGCCAUUGAUACUGUCAUUCUUGAGUACACUUGAAGUGGGCGGAAUGUAUCAUGUAGCGGUGAAAUGCAUAGAUAUGAUACAGAACUCCGAUAGCGAAGGCAGCUCACUAAAUUGUAACUGACGCUCAGGCACGAAAGCGUGGGGAGCAAACAGGAUUAGAAACCCCAGUAGUCC